GCAGUGGUGGUUCAUGGUAGAAUUCUCACCUUCAAUGUGGGAGACCUGGGUUUGAUUCCCAGCCAACGCA
This 70-nucleotide transfer RNA is filed under the name Loxodonta africana (African savanna elephant). It matches the Rfam family "tRNA". From Rfam's summary of the family: Transfer RNA (tRNA) molecules are approximately 80 nucleotides in length. Their secondary structure includes four short double-helical elements and three loops (D, anti-codon, and T loops). Further hydrogen bonds mediate the characteristic L-shaped molecular structure. tRNAs have two regions of fundamental functional importance: the anti-codon, which is responsible for specific mRNA codon recognition, and the 3' end, to which the tRNAs corresponding amino acid is attached (by aminoacyl-tRNA synthetases). tRNAs cope with the degeneracy of the genetic code in two manners: having more than one tRNA (with a specific anti-codon) for a particular amino acid; and 'wobble' base-pairing, i.e. permitting non-standard base-pairing at the 3rd anti-codon position. Lineage: Eukaryota; Metazoa; Chordata; Mammalia; Proboscidea; Elephantidae. The record is from Rfam by way of RNAcentral.